UACCGCAUACGUCCUACGGGAGAAAGCAGGGGACCUUCGGGCCUUGCGCUAUCAGAUGAGCCUAGGUCGGAUUAGCUGGUUGGUGAGGUAAUGGCUCACCAAGGCGACGAUCCGUAACUGGUCUGAGAGGAGUGAUCAGUCACACUGGGAAUGAGACACGGUCCACCCUCCUACGGGAGGCAGCAGUGGGGAAUAUUGGACAAUGGGCGAAAGCCGAUCCAAAAGAGGCCCCGUGUGUGAAGAAGGUCUUCGGAU
RNAcentral lists this ribosomal RNA (255 nucleotides) under uncultured bacterium. RNAcentral describes it as "partial 16S ribosomal RNA". It matches the Rfam family "Bacterial small subunit ribosomal RNA", at positions 167 to 423 of the family's 1533-position model. The record is from RNAcentral.